UACGUAGGGUGCAAGCGUUGUCCGGAAUUAUUGGGCGUAAAGAGCUCGUAGGCGGUCUGUCGCGUCUGCUGUGAAAACUCGGGGCUUAACCCCGGGCCUGCAGUGGGUACGGGCAGACUAGAGUGCGGUAGGGGAGACUGGAAUUCCUGGUGUAGCGGUGAAAUGCGCAGAUAUCGAGAGGAACACCUGCGGCGAAGGCGGGUUGCUGGGCUGACACUGACGCUGAUGCGCGAAAGCUAGGGGAGCGAACGGG
RNAcentral lists this ribosomal RNA (253 nucleotides) under uncultured bacterium. RNAcentral describes it as "partial 16S ribosomal RNA". It matches the Rfam family "Bacterial small subunit ribosomal RNA", at positions 524 to 776 of the family's 1533-position model. The record is from RNAcentral.